This 1237-nucleotide long non-coding RNA is filed under the name Cricetulus griseus (Chinese hamster). RNAcentral describes it as "lncRNA (ENSCGRG00015038067.1)". The record is from RNAcentral. Lineage: Eukaryota; Metazoa; Chordata; Mammalia; Rodentia; Cricetidae.
GAUUUCCUGUCGACUGAUCUGCAGAGCCUGCGACCCUUGAAAAGUACUGAUGUAUUUAUUGUCUGUCUGUGUAACAGGUGUGAGUGUAUUCCUGUGUCAGAAAGUUGAAGCCAGAAGACCUGGCAGGGAGGGGACUCAGGACUUCAACCUGCUGCUCGGUGGCCACACAGCUGUCAACCCUAUGUGCUGGGACUUAGCUUGGGGCAUGGAUCUGAGGACAUAUGAGAGCCAGUGAAGAGGCUGAGAACCCCAAAGCUUCCUCCAGAGACUGGAAAAAGUGUGGCCAGAUCCUGGCCACAAGGACAACAGCACUGGACAUGUCACACAAUACUAGUAACUGGGUAUGGUAGCUCACAUCAGCAAUCUCAACGCGUGGGAGACAGAGACAGGAAGAUUACAGCAAGUUCUAUGCCAGCCUGGGCUAUACGAAACUUGCCUGACUGAAUCCUCCCCUCCCUACCUGCUGGAGCAGGUCUGCGAUCUCCAUCAUUUCCUCACCAGUUGGUGGACGGACAUGCCUGUCAUGGACAGUUGUUUUUACCGAGAGAAAAAGGUAGCAAGAAAGAGCAUCUUGUCAGGCGACAGGGUUUCCCCCUGUUAGUGAAGGCUGCCCAUCUACCAAGUUCCUUGAGUCCCUGUGGAGUUCUAUCCCUGUUAAGACCUGGACAGGGAGGAUGAAGCGAGAUACCCUGUUCUCCCAGCCAAUUCCAUGCAGACCUGGGCUUUGCAUCUGUCUGUUGUGUGCACGUGCAAGUCACAGCCUCGUCACACUGUGUGACUGGAGACAGAGACGGGCCUCUUCCAGGACAAGCAGAUGACCAAGGGGCUUCAGUUAUAGGAAAGGAUGCCACGUAGGAUCGGGAAGGGCGGUGUGUGUCCUCUGUAGAACCCUUGCUUCUGGGGCAAGGUGCCCUGUAAGUCUGUGAUCUCUAUUGUGGCCUGGGGGGUGUCUGAGGAGGGCGGGGUCACAGGUGUGGGUGGUGGGCGAGGCAGGGUCUCUCUGUCGGCCCCCACCCCAUGUGGGGACAGGCCACCUGCUUCACGACAAGAGACAAGACGUUCACUUUUCUGCUUCCAAUUUCACACCUCAACCUUUGAACUUUGGACCUGUGGUUUAUUAAUAAUGUGAUUACCUGGUAGGAGGGAAAUGCCAAGACACUUAUCUUUCCCCUACGGGACAGCCCCACCCAACUGUCAGGCGUGUUCCCCUGGGCCUUGGUUCCUCCCCAGCACCCAC